Hippopotamus amphibius kiboko is the source of this 103-nucleotide small nuclear RNA. The record is from RefSeq and is a predicted model, not a curated record. NCBI's taxonomy places the organism in Eukaryota, Metazoa, Chordata, Mammalia, Artiodactyla, Hippopotamidae.
UUGCUUCAGCAGCACAUACACUAAAACUGGAACGAUACAGAGAAGAUUAGUAUGGCCCCUGUGCGAGGAUGACACGCAAAUUCAUGAAGUGUUCCACCAAAAA